This 484-nucleotide ribosomal RNA is filed under the name uncultured bacterium. Its description in RNAcentral is "partial 16S ribosomal RNA". It matches the Rfam family "Bacterial small subunit ribosomal RNA", at positions 30 to 507 of the family's 1533-position model. The record is from RNAcentral.
AUUGAACGCUGGCGGCAGGCCUAACACAUGCAAGUCGAGCGGAUGAAGGGAGCUUGCUCCUGGAUUCAGCGGCGGACGGGUGAGUAAUGCCUAGGAAUCUGCCUGAUAGAGGGGGCUGACGUCCGGACACGGGCGCUAAUACCGCAUACGUCCAGAGAGAGAACGUGGGGGAUCAUCGGACCAAGCGCUAUCAGCUGAGCCUAGGACGGAUUAGCUAGUUGGUGGGGUAAGGGCCUACCAAGGCGACGAUCCGUAACUGGUCUGAGAGGAUGAUCAGUCACACUGGAACUGAGACACGGUCCAGACUCCUACGGGAGGCAGCAGUGGGGAAUAUUGGACAAUGGGCGAAAGCCUGAUGCAGCCAUGCCGCGUGUGUGAAGAAGGUCUUCGGAUUGUAAAGCACUUUAAGUUGGGAGGAAGGGCAGUAAGUUAAUACCUUGCUGUUUUGACGUUACCAACAGAGUAAGCACCGGCUAACUUCGUG